RNAcentral lists this ribosomal RNA (483 nucleotides) under uncultured bacterium. RNAcentral's name for it is "bacterial SSU rRNA". It matches the Rfam family "Bacterial small subunit ribosomal RNA", at positions 28 to 502 of the family's 1533-position model. The record is from RNAcentral.
GAUGAACGCUAGCGACAGGCCUAACACAUGCAAGUCGAGGGGCAGCAUGGUAUCAGCUUGCUGAUACCGAUGGCGACCGGCGCACGGGUGAGUAACGCGUAUGUAAUCUGCCUGUAACAGAGGGAUAACCCGGAGAAAUCCGGCCUAAUACCUCAUAGCACAUAUUAUUCGCAUGAGUUUUAUGUUAAAGAGACUCGGUUACAGAUGAACAUGCGUUCCAUUAGCUGGUUGGCGGGGUAACGGCCCACCAAGGCAACGAUGGAUAGGGGUUCUGAGAGGAAGGUCCCCCACACUGGUACUGAGACACGGACCAGACUCCUACGGGAGGCAGCAGUGAGGAAUAUUGGUCAAUGGGCGAGAGCCUGAACCAGCCAAGUCGCGUGGAGGAAGACUGCCCUACGGGUUGUAAACUCCUUUAUAAGGGGAUAAAGUUGGCCAUGUAUGGCCAUUUGCAGGUACCUUAUGAAUAAGCAUCGGCUAAUU